This 425-nucleotide ribosomal RNA is filed under the name Babesia canis. RNAcentral describes it as "SSU rRNA". It matches the Rfam family "Eukaryotic small subunit ribosomal RNA", at positions 543 to 1018 of the family's 1831-position model. The record is from RNAcentral. Lineage: Eukaryota; Apicomplexa; Aconoidasida; Piroplasmida; Babesiidae.
AGCAAUUGGAGGGCAAGUCUGGUGCCAGCAGCCGCGGUAAUUCCAGCUCCAAUAGCGUAUAUUAAACUUGUUGCAGUUAAAAAGCUCGUAGUUGUAUUUUUGCGUUAGCGGUUUGACCAUUUGGUUGGUUAUUUCGUUUUCGCUUUUGGGAAUUUCCCUUUUUACUUUGAGAAAAUUAGAGUGUUUCAAGCAGACUUUUGUCUUGAAUACUUCAGCAUGGAAUAAUAGAGUAGGACUUUGGUUCUAUUUUGUUGGUUAUUGAACCUUAGUAAUGGUUAAUAGGAACGGUUGGGGGCAUUCGUAUUUAACUGUCAGAGGUGAAAUUCUUAGAUUUGUUAAAGACGAACUACUGCGAAAGCAUUUGCCAAGGACGUUUCCAUUAAUCAAGAACGAAAGUUAGGGGAUCGAAGACGAUCAGAUACCGU